CAGUCGCCGCGGGAAUACGGAGGGUGCAAGCGUUAAUCGGAAUUACUGGGCGUAAAGCGUGCGUAGGCGGUUCGUUAAGUCUGUUGUGAAAGCCCCGGGCUCAACCUGGGAAUGGCAAUGGAUACUGGCGGGCUAGAGUGUGUCAGAGGAUGGUGGAAUUCCCGGUGUAGCGGUGAAAUGCGUAGAGAUCGGGAGGAACAUCAGUGGCGAAGGCGGCCAUCUGGGACAACACUGACGCUGAGGCACGAAAGCGUGGGGAGCAAACAGGAUUAGAUACCCGCGUAGUCCCUGUCUCUUAUAC
Molecule: ribosomal RNA, 301 nt
Filed under: uncultured bacterium
Lineage: Bacteria
Description: partial 16S ribosomal RNA
Rfam family: Bacterial small subunit ribosomal RNA
Source: RNAcentral